AUUCUUUUAAAAAUCUUCAGUACAUAUACUAAAAUUGGAACGAUACAGAGAAGAUUAGCAUGGCCCCUGUGCUGGGAUGACACACAGUCAAAAGAAAAAAAAAAAAACAGA
Molecule: small nuclear RNA, 111 nt
Organism: Colobus angolensis palliatus
Lineage: Eukaryota; Metazoa; Chordata; Mammalia; Primates; Cercopithecidae
Source: Ensembl